CAAGCAUGUUUAUUCACUUAUUUCCUUCCGUAGUGACGUGCGGAAGAUCAUUA
Molecule: ribosomal RNA, 53 nt
Filed under: Solicoccozyma terrea
Lineage: Eukaryota; Fungi; Basidiomycota; Tremellomycetes; Filobasidiales; Piskurozymaceae
Description: partial 18S ribosomal RNA
Source: RNAcentral